RNAcentral lists this small nuclear RNA (344 nucleotides) under Oryctolagus cuniculus (rabbit). Its description in RNAcentral is "7SK RNA". It matches the Rfam family "7SK RNA", at positions 1 to 288 of the family's 331-position model. Rfam says of the family: 7SK was discovered as an abundant small nuclear RNA in the mid-70s but a possible function has only recently been suggested. Two independent studies have found that 7SK RNA binds the CDK9/cyclin T complex (known as elongation factor P-TEFb). Lineage: Eukaryota; Metazoa; Chordata; Mammalia; Lagomorpha; Leporidae. The record is from Rfam by way of RNAcentral.
GGAUGUGAGGGUGACCCGGCUGCGACAUCUGUCACCCCACUGAUCGCCAGGUUGAUCUGGCUGAUCUCGCUGGCUAGGCAGGUGUGCCUUUCCUCCCUCACCACUCCAUGUGCGUCCCUCCUGAAGCUGCGCACUUGAUCGAAGAGGACAAACUUCCUCGGGAGAGAAGGACGGGUCUUCAGCUAAGGGUAUACGAGUAGCUGCACUCCCCUGCUAGAACCUCCCCACAAGCUCUCAAGGAAGGCACACAGGUCCUCAAUUAAAUAUGGGAGCUACAGAGUUGGUCUCAAAUUAGUUCCAGGAAGGGUAAGAGAAGGGAGGGAGGAAGAGUGGAAGGUUAUUAG